Molecule: small nucleolar RNA, 79 nt
Organism: Accipiter nisus (Eurasian sparrowhawk)
Lineage: Eukaryota; Metazoa; Chordata; Aves; Accipitriformes; Accipitridae
Source: Ensembl
UGCCGAUGAUGACCACGCCAUGCUAAUACUGACCAGCUGUGGGCUGGGAUGAGUUCAAUCUCUUCAAGGGCUGAGGCAC